This 250-nucleotide ribosomal RNA is filed under the name uncultured bacterium. Its description in RNAcentral is "partial 16S ribosomal RNA". It matches the Rfam family "Bacterial small subunit ribosomal RNA", at positions 524 to 773 of the family's 1533-position model. The record is from RNAcentral.
GACGGAGGGUGCUAGCGUUGUUCGGAAUCACUGGGCGUAAAGGGCGCGUAGGCGGCCCAUGCAGUCGGCCGUGAAAGCCCGGGGCUCAACCCCGGAGGUGCGGUCGAAACACAUGGGCUGGAGGCCGGAAGAGGAGGGUGGAAUACCCAGUGUAGAGGUGAAAUUCGUAGAUAUUGGGUGGAACACCGGUGGCGAAAGCGGCUCUCUGGUCCGGACCUGACGCUGAGGCGCGAAAGCGUGGGGAGCAAAC